UCCAUUAGAGCUCCACUGGAGGUGAUCGCGGGCGAGUGCAGAAUGAAUGGGAGUCUAUGGAGUUAAACGGUUAAUGUGUCUCUUUCUCCUGCUUGUCGUUGAAUCAACAUAGAUUUUAUUGUUGAUUCCUCAAGUUCAAUAUAGAUUAUAGGCCAAAAGUCGAAUGAACGAGUACUUAUGUCCUUUUGAUUUCUUACAGGUUGGGCCGUUGUUGGCCGGAACACGCUAGCAUUCUGCUAUUAUGUGACGUCAUCACAUUUUUGAACGGAUUUUUAGAACAGAUAAGUGAACUUAAAAAUGCAAUUUUCAGCUGAGUGUAUUAUCUUAGCCCUCCCUUUUGAAUGCAACUUUCAAAUUACUUGACAAAAAAUUACAUCCU
Molecule: long non-coding RNA, 379 nt
Organism: Rhinichthys klamathensis goyatoka
Lineage: Eukaryota; Metazoa; Chordata; Actinopteri; Cypriniformes; Leuciscidae
Exons: 2
Source: RefSeq, a predicted model, not a curated record